RNAcentral lists this signal recognition particle RNA (188 nucleotides) under Lachnospiraceae bacterium. RNAcentral's name for it is "signal recognition particle sRNA large type". It matches the Rfam family "Bacterial large signal recognition particle RNA". Rfam says of the family: The signal recognition particle (SRP) is a universally conserved ribonucleoprotein involved in the co-translational targeting of proteins to membranes. Archaeal SRP consists of a 7S RNA and homologues of the eukaryotic SRP19 and SRP54 proteins. Lineage: Bacteria; Bacillati; Bacillota; Clostridia; Lachnospirales; Lachnospiraceae. The record is from RNAcentral.
ACAUUUAGUUGGUCAGAUUAUAGAAUACAAGAGCCGGCCUUCGUAAGUGGCGUUGAGAUUUGGGUCUUGCGCGACGGAUGCUUACGAAUCGUGUCAGGUCAGGAAUGGAGCAGCACUAAGUUUGAUUUUCCGGGUGCCGCGAGGUCGCCUGGGUUGAGCUAACUGCGAGGGUAUCGGCUUUUAAAUGU